This 230-nucleotide unclassified non-coding RNA is filed under the name Hevea brasiliensis (rubber tree). The record is from RNAcentral. Lineage: Eukaryota; Viridiplantae; Streptophyta; Magnoliopsida; Malpighiales; Euphorbiaceae.
UUUUUGUUGGAGGAAACUUGGUAUCAUGGAGGCACAAUCAUGUGUGAAGUAGUGUGAUGCAUCAUUUAUUAGAUGAGGUUGAUCUUAAAAACUCAUUGCUUGUUAAAUUUUGGUAUGAUAAUUAAGCUACUCUUCAUAUUGCUUUCAACAUUGUGUUUCAGGAGCAGACCAAACAUAUCAAGAUUGAUUGCCAUUUCGUUAGUGUAAAGAUUUAACAUAAGAUCAUUUUG